AAAGUAUUCGACGUGGAGAAAAUUUAAAAAUCAACUAUGAACAUUUUAUUGCUAAUAUUUGGUUUCAUUUGCACUUCAGCUUUGCUUUUAGAACCACCAAAAAAAGAUACGGAAUGUGUUAAGGGAACGAGUAAACAAUUAUGUUUGAAGGAAAACUUCAGGAAGAGGAAUAUCAAAAUGCAAAUAGAACCAGAUUUGCGGCAGGACAAAGGUGAAAGUUACGCAGGAAAUAUCAAAACCAAUUCUU
Papilio machaon (common yellow swallowtail) is the source of this 247-nucleotide long non-coding RNA. RefSeq lists it as uncharacterized. NCBI's taxonomy places the organism in Eukaryota, Metazoa, Arthropoda, Insecta, Lepidoptera, Papilionidae. The record is from RefSeq and is a predicted model, not a curated record. The transcript is spliced from 4 exons.